CUUGAUCCAUGUCGUUGGUUAUAUUGAUAUACGUGAUCUAUGUUGGUUCUAGUUACGCAAGAGUAACUAAGAGGUCUUUGGUCCUAUGUUGGUAUGAUUGAUGGACCGGAUUGUUCACGACAAUUUAUUGUGAUAGCAAUUUUGAGCUCAUAAGGUUAUAAUGUAACAUAUAAUGCUACGGUUUGUGCAUAUGUAUGUGUAUCUCGUCCAAGUGGGAGAUUGUAAGAUAUAUGGACUUAUAUGUACAUACAUAUGAACAAUAUAUGGAUAAAUUAUAUGUUAUGUGCUAUCUUUUGGUUUGGCCUAAUUUUGUGGUCUUAUGGACAUUAUGUUAAGGNNNN
Molecule: long non-coding RNA, 341 nt
Filed under: Nicotiana benthamiana
Lineage: Eukaryota; Viridiplantae; Streptophyta; Magnoliopsida; Solanales; Solanaceae
Description: long non-coding RNA (NBEN_LNC038478)
Source: RNAcentral